This 494-nucleotide ribosomal RNA is filed under the name uncultured Crocinitomix sp. RNAcentral describes it as "bacterial SSU rRNA". It matches the Rfam family "Bacterial small subunit ribosomal RNA", at positions 8 to 497 of the family's 1533-position model. The record is from RNAcentral. Lineage: Bacteria; Pseudomonadati; Bacteroidota; Flavobacteriia; Flavobacteriales; Crocinitomicaceae.
AGAGUUUGAUCAUGGCUCAGGAUGAACGCUAGCGGCAGGCUUAACACAUGCAAGUCGAGGGGCAGCACGAUGUAGCAAUACAUUGGUGGCGACCGGCGCACGGGUGCGUAACACGUAUGGAAUCUGCCUUGUACUGGGAGAUAGCCCUCCGAAAGGAGGAUUAAUAUCCCAUAAUAAGUUGAGUGGCAUCACUUGGCUUUGAAAGCUCCGGCGGUACAAGAUGACCAUGCGCACGAUUAGCUAGUUGGUGAGGUAACGGCUCACCAAGGCUACGAUCGUUAGGGGGCCUGAGAGGGUUAUCCCCCACACUGGUACUGAGACACGGACCAGACUCCUACGGGAGGCAGCAGUGAGGAAUAUUGCGCAAUGGAGGCAACUCUGACGCAGCCAUGCCGCGUGCAGGAAGAAGGCGCUACGCGUUGUAAACUGCUUUUAACCGGGAAGAAACCCCAGGACGUGUCCUGGGUGACGGUACCGGAGAAUAGACCGAUCGC